RNAcentral lists this ribosomal RNA (574 nucleotides) under Tausonia pullulans. Its description in RNAcentral is "partial large subunit ribosomal RNA". It matches the Rfam family "Eukaryotic large subunit ribosomal RNA", at positions 60 to 617 of the family's 3401-position model. Lineage: Eukaryota; Fungi; Basidiomycota; Tremellomycetes; Cystofilobasidiales; Mrakiaceae. The record is from RNAcentral.
AGAAACUAACAAGGAUUCCCCUAGUAACGGCGAGUGAAGCGGGAUGAGCUCAAAUUUAAAAUCUGGCGGUCUCAGAUCGUCCGAGUUGUAGUCUAGAGAAGCGUUUUCCGUGCUGGCCUGUGUACAAGUCCGUUGGAACACGGCGUCAUAGAGGGUGAGAAUCCCGUCCUUGACACAGAUCUCCAGUGCUUUGUGAUGCGCUCUCAAAGAGUCGAGUUGUUUGGGAAUGCAGCUCAAAAUGGGUGGUAAAUUCCAUCUAAAGCUAAAUAUUGGCGAGAAACCGAUAGCGAACAAGUACCGUGAGGGAAAGAUGAAAAGCACUUUGGAAAGAGAGUUAAACAGUACGUGAAAUUGUUGAAAGGGAAACGAUUGAAGUCAGUCAUGCUUUCCGAGACUCAGCCGGUUCUGCCGGUGUACUUCUCGGUUUGCAGGCCAGCAUCAGUUUUGGGCGGUGGAAAAGGUUGGCGGGAAUGUGGCAUCCUCGGAUGUGUUAUAGCCCGCUUUCGAAUACAUCGCCCGGGACUGAGGAACGCAGCACGCCUCUUGUAGGUCGGUCUUCGGACACGUCCGUGCU